UGGUUCAGUUGGUAGAGCAUGGUGUUUGCAACACCAGGGUUGUGGGUUCGUUUCCCAC
RNAcentral lists this transfer RNA (58 nucleotides) under Salmo salar (Atlantic salmon). It matches the Rfam family "tRNA", at positions 8 to 63 of the family's 71-position model. Rfam says of the family: Transfer RNA (tRNA) molecules are approximately 80 nucleotides in length. Their secondary structure includes four short double-helical elements and three loops (D, anti-codon, and T loops). Lineage: Eukaryota; Metazoa; Chordata; Actinopteri; Salmoniformes; Salmonidae. The record is from Rfam by way of RNAcentral.